This 651-nucleotide ribosomal RNA is filed under the name uncultured marine group I thaumarchaeote. RNAcentral describes it as "bacterial SSU rRNA". It matches the Rfam family "Archaeal small subunit ribosomal RNA", at positions 1 to 659 of the family's 1478-position model. The record is from RNAcentral. Lineage: Archaea; Thermoproteati; Nitrososphaerota.
UUCUGGUUGAUCCUGCCGGACCUGACUGCUAUCGGAUUGAUACUAAGCCAUGCGAGUCUUUGCAGUAAUGCAAGGCAGACGGCUCAGUAACACGUAGUCAACUUACCCUAUGGACGAGGAUAAUCUCGGGAAACUGAGCAUAAUACUCGAUAGAUCAUAAUGCCUGGAAUGGUUUAUGGUUGAAAUGAUUCGUCGCCAUAGGAUGGGACUGCGGCCUAUCAGCUUGUUGGUGAGGUAAUGGCCCACCAAGGCGAUUACAGGUACGGGCUCUGAGAGGAGAAGCCCGGAGAUGGGUACUGAGACAAGGACCCAGGCCCUAUGGGGCGCAGCAGGCGAGAAAACUUUGCAAUGUGCGAAAGCACGACAAGGUUAAUCCGAGUGAUUUCUGCUAAAGAAAUCUUUUGCAAGUCAUAAAACCACUAGUGAAUAAGGGGUGGGCAAGUUCUGGUGUCAGCCGCCGCGGUAAAACCAGCACCUCAAGUGGUCAGGAGGAUUAUUGGGCCUAAAGCAUCCGUAGCCGGCUCUGUAAGUUUUCGGUUAAAUCCAUGUGCUCAACAUAUGGGCUGCCGAAAAUACUGCAUAGCUAGGGAGUGGGAGAGGUAGACGGUACUCAAUAGGAAGGGGUAAAAUCCUUUGAUCUAUUGAUGACCA